Molecule: ribosomal RNA, 747 nt
Filed under: Enterococcus hirae
Lineage: Bacteria; Bacillati; Bacillota; Bacilli; Lactobacillales; Enterococcaceae
Description: bacterial SSU rRNA
Rfam family: Bacterial small subunit ribosomal RNA
Source: RNAcentral
UUUUAUGAGAGUUUGAUCCUGGCUCAGGACGAACGCUGGCGGCGUGCCUAAUACAUGCAAGUCGAACGCCUCUUUUUCCACCGGAGCUUGCUCCAUCGGAAAAAGAGGAGUGGCGAACGGGUGAGUAACACGUGGGUAACCUGCCCAUCAGAAGGGGAUAACACUUGGAAACAGGUGCUAAUACCGUAUAACAAUCGAAACCGCAUGGUUUCGAUUUGAAAGGCGCUUUCGGGUGUCGCUGAUGGAUGGACCCGCGGUGCAUUAGCUAGUUGGUGAGGUAACGGCUCACCAAGGCGACGAUGCAUAGCCGACCUGAGAGGGUGAUCGGCCACAUUGGGACUGAGACACGGCCCAAACUCCUACGGGAGGCAGCAGUAGGGAAUCUUCGGCAAUGGACGAAAGUCUGACCGAGCAACGCCGCGUGAGUGAAGAAGGUUUUCGGAUCGUAAAACUCUGUUGUUAGAGAAGAACAAGGAUGAGAGUAACUGUUCAUCCCUUGACGGUAUCUAACCAGAAAGCCACGGCUAACUACGUGCCAGCAGCCGCGGUAAUACGUAGGUGGCAAGCGUUGUCCGGAUUUAUUGGGCGUAAAGCGAGCGCAGGCGGUUUCUUAAGUCUGAUGUGAAAGCCCCCGGCUCAACCGGGGAGGGUCAUUGGAAACUGGGAGACUUGAGUGCAGAAGAGGAGAGUGGAAUUCCAUGUGUAGCGGUGAAAUGCGUAGAUAUAUGGAGGAACACCAGUGGCGAA